CCUACGGGUGGCAGCAGUAGGGAAUCUUUCACAAUGGGCGAAAGCCUGAUGGAGCAACGCCGCGUGCAGGAUGAAGGCCUUCGGGUUGUAAACUGCUUUUAUAAGCGAGAAAUAUGACGGUAACUUACGAAUAAGCAUCGGCUAACUACGUGCCAGCAGCCGCGGUCAUACGUAGGAUCCGAGCAUUAUCCGGAGUGACUGGGUGUAAAGAGUUGCGUAGGGGGGAAAAUAAAUAGCUAGUGAAACCUGGUGGCUCAACCAUUCAGACUAUUAGCGAAACUGUUAAGCUCGAGAGCGGUAGGGGUAAGUGGAAUUUCUAGUGUAGGAGUGAAAUCCGUAGAGAUUAGGAGGAACACCAGUGGCGUAGGCGGGUUACUGGACCGGUUCUGACACUGAGGCACGAAAGCGUAGGGAGCAAACGGGAUUAGAUACCCGAGUAGUC
RNAcentral lists this ribosomal RNA (442 nucleotides) under uncultured bacterium. Its description in RNAcentral is "partial 16S ribosomal RNA". It matches the Rfam family "Bacterial small subunit ribosomal RNA", at positions 338 to 795 of the family's 1533-position model. The record is from RNAcentral.